RNAcentral lists this long non-coding RNA (518 nucleotides) under Chinchilla lanigera (long-tailed chinchilla). RNAcentral describes it as "lncRNA (ENSCLAG00000023780.1)". Lineage: Eukaryota; Metazoa; Chordata; Mammalia; Rodentia; Chinchillidae. The record is from RNAcentral.
AUGUAUCUCCCUACCCUUGAUAAACUGGAGCAGCAUCAUAGCUUGCCUCAUUCUUCCCUGCUUCAUCAUAUUUAAAACAUUCAGAUUUUAAACACCACCCACAGCAGUGAAUCAUCUUAUUUAUGUCCCUUUUGUAUCCUGCUACCGCAACAGAGAACAGUACGAACAGGAAGACUUGUGCUUUAGUUACAGGAAAAACUCCAAUUCCUCUCAGUAGUUUCUCCAGGAAGUCUGAGAUGAGAUUGUACUGUAAUGGCUUUGUUGCAAAGGCGGAAGAAAAAUGACAAAACCAGAAGCACAGCAGACCACAGGUAAGAUGGUGACUCCAAACAAAGUGAAUCUAUAUUCAAUCGUUUAAGUGCAAAGUUAAAGAUCUCUCCAAAGAGUGACUAUGAAUACAUGAUAUACCUGUCAAAGAAUUAUUUCACAGCAGCUAUGGGAGCCACCUGCAACUGGUAGAAACACAAGUACUAUUUUAUCUUCUCUACAAAAAAACUUUUAAUUUUAUAAGAUGAUAC